GACGAACGCUGGCGGCGUGCCUAAUACAUGCAAGUAGAACGCUGAAGAGAGGAGCUUGCUCUUCUUGGAUGAGUUGCGCACGGGUGAGUAACGCGUAGGUAACCUGCCUUGUAGCGGGGGAUAACUAUUGGAAACGAUAGCUAAUACCGCAUAACAAUGGAUGACACAUGUCAUUUAUUUGAAAGGGGCAAUUGCUCCACUACAAGAUGGACCUGCGUUGUAUUAGCUAGUAGGUGAGGUAAUGGCUCACCUAGGCGACGAUACAUAGCCGACCUGAGAGGGUGAUCGGCCACACUGGGACGGAGACACGGCCCAGACGCCUACGGGAGGCAGCAGUAGGGAAUCUUCGGCAAUGGGGGCAACCCUGACCGAGCAACGCCGCGUGAGUGAAGAAGGUUUUCGGAUCGUAAAGCUCUGUUGUAAGUCAAGAACGGGUGUGAGAGUGGAAAGUUCACACUGUGACGGUAGCUUACCAGAAAGGGACGGCUAACUACGUG
This 497-nucleotide ribosomal RNA is filed under the name uncultured bacterium. RNAcentral's name for it is "partial 16S ribosomal RNA". It matches the Rfam family "Bacterial small subunit ribosomal RNA", at positions 28 to 507 of the family's 1533-position model. The record is from RNAcentral.